Molecule: ribosomal RNA, 430 nt
Filed under: Picochlorum sp. RCC944
Lineage: Eukaryota; Viridiplantae; Chlorophyta; Trebouxiophyceae
Description: partial Eukaryotic large subunit ribosomal RNA
Rfam family: Eukaryotic large subunit ribosomal RNA
Source: RNAcentral
GGCCUCUAGUGCAGAUCUUGGUGGUAGUAGCAAAUACUCAAAUGAGAACUUUGAGGACUGAAGUGGGGAAAGGUUCCGUGUGAACAGCAGUUGGACACGGGUUAGUCGAUCCUAAGACAUAGGGAAACUCCGUUUUAAAGCACGCACUUGUGCGUCGCCCGUCGAAAGGGAAGCCGGUUAACAUUCCGGCACCUGGAUGUGGAUUCUCCACGGCAACGUAACUGAAAGCGAAGACGUCGGCGGGGGCCCUGGGAAGAGUUCUCUUUUCUUCUUAACUGUCUAUCACCCUGAAAUCGGUUUGUCCGGAGCUAGGGUUUAACGGCCGGUAGAGCCCAACACCUUUGUUGGGUCCGGUGCGCUCCCGACGACCCUUGAAAAUUCGCUGGAAGGAAUAGUUUUCACGCCAGGUCGUACUCAUAACCGCAGCAGG